ACAAAAUGACGCAAAAUGGUGACAAUGAGCUAAUCAUCAAAAAAGAUUAAUGUACGAAUUGUGGGCUGGAACUCGCCCACAUGAAGUAGGAAUUCCGAGUAAUCGCGUAUCAUUACGACGCGGUGAAUAUCAUCUCUUGGGUGUACUAACUGCUCGUCACGGGACGAAAGGGAGCAUAUUAUGAAGUAGG
Molecule: ribosomal RNA, 190 nt
Filed under: Chloropicon mariensis
Lineage: Eukaryota; Viridiplantae; Chlorophyta; Chloropicophyceae; Chloropicales; Chloropicaceae
Description: partial Bacterial small subunit ribosomal RNA
Rfam family: Bacterial small subunit ribosomal RNA
Source: RNAcentral